GACGAACGCUGGCGGCGUGCUUAACACAUGCAAGUCGAACGGAAAGGCCCUGCUUUUGUGGGGUGCUCGAGUGGCGAACGGGUGAGUAACACGUGAGUAACCUGCCCUUGACUUUGGGAUAACUUCUGGAAACUGGGGCUAAUACCGGAUAGGAGCUCCUGCUGCAUGGUGGGGGUUGGAAAGUUUCGGCGGUUGGGGAUGGACUCGCGGCUUAUCAGCUUGUUGGUGGGGUAGUGGCUUACCAAGGCUUUGACGGGUAGCCGGCCUGGUAGGGUGACCGGCCACAUUGGGCCUGAGAUACGGCCCAGACUCCUACGGGAGGCAGCAGUGGGGAAUAUUGCACAAUGGGCGGAAGCCUGCUGCAGCAACGCCGCGUGCGGGAUGACGGCCUUCGGGUUGUAAGCCGCUUUCGCCUGUGACGAAGCGUGAGUGACGGUAAUGGGUAAAGAAGCACCGGCUAACUACGUG
RNAcentral lists this ribosomal RNA (468 nucleotides) under uncultured bacterium. RNAcentral's name for it is "partial 16S ribosomal RNA". It matches the Rfam family "Bacterial small subunit ribosomal RNA", at positions 28 to 507 of the family's 1533-position model. The record is from RNAcentral.